This is a long non-coding RNA of Panicum virgatum (switchgrass), 756 nucleotides long. RefSeq lists it as uncharacterized. Lineage: Eukaryota; Viridiplantae; Streptophyta; Magnoliopsida; Poales; Poaceae. The transcript is spliced from 2 exons. The record is from RefSeq and is a predicted model, not a curated record.
GGGAAUUUCAUCAAGCAUCUUGUGGAUGACCAUGUGCCAUGGCGCCCGGGGAGAGUGGUGCCCCAACGAGCUCUGCCUGCCGGCACCGCUCCCUCGCAUGUUCACCGCUGCUCAACCCCACGGUGAGCUUCACCCUGCCCGGACCACGCCAUGCGCGACGAGGAGGGGCGGCGCCGGUUGGAGGAGCUCGCUGAGGGACACAUGCACGGUAAGGAAGAAGGCGGGGUGAGCGCAAGAAUGCGGAUGGGAGAAGCCGAUCUGGUGCCGCUGCUCGUUGCCGUCCGCGCGUCCUGCCCCUGCCUCACGGCGGUGGCGGCAGCAGUCUGAUCCCCCACGUAGCUCAAACUUGGCAAGGGAGUGGCAAGCGUUGGGAUAGAAGGGGUGGAUGGAAAGCUAACAUGGUGGAGGUGUCAUGGGUGCAAAGAAUUGGAAGGAGAUGGCCAAAGACUCGGCCAGAUUUUGAGCUGAUGCUCUGGCGGCGGUGGGUGGUGUCCCGAGACAUCACAGAGUGGCGCAGCAGCGGCAGAGUCGUCGCUGUAGUGGUGGAGGAGCGGCUGAGUCUCGCACACAACUUGUUCGAUUAAAUGUGCCAUCGAGAGACUAUGGGAGAGAGAAGAAGAUGCAGAUGGAUGAAAGAGUGGCGCCUAGUUAGCGUGCCACAUCAGCACUAGCUACCCACGUGGAUGGGAAUGGACCUGCGUUGAACGACUUAAAAUGUUUAUGGACCCAGAAAUACAUUUUCGGAGUUGAUGGACC